This 510-nucleotide ribosomal RNA is filed under the name uncultured bacterium. RNAcentral describes it as "bacterial SSU rRNA". It matches the Rfam family "Bacterial small subunit ribosomal RNA", at positions 28 to 526 of the family's 1533-position model. The record is from RNAcentral.
GAUGAACGCUAGCGGCAGGCCUAACACAUGCAAGUCGAGGGGCAGCACGGAAUGUAGCUUGCUACAUCUGGUGGCGACCGGCGCACGGGUGCGUAACGCGUAUGCAACCUACCUUGAACAGGGGGAUAAUUCGGAGAAAUCUGGUCUAAUACCCCAUAAUAUCGGAAUAGGCAUCUAUUCUGGUUAAAAACUCCGGUGGUUCAAGAUGGGCAUGCGUUGUAUUAGCUAGUUGGUGAGGUAACGGCUCACCAAGGCAACGAUACAUAGGGGGACUGAGAGGUUAACCCCCCACACUGGUACUGAGACACGGACCAGACUCCUACGGGAGGUAGCAGUGAGGAAUAUUGGUCAAUGGGCGAGAGCCUGAACCAGCCAAGUAGCGUGAGGGAUGACUGCCCUAUGGGUUGUAAACCUCUUUUAUAUGGGAAUAAUAGGUUCUACGUGUAGAAUUUUGCAUGUACCAUUAUGAAUAAGCAUCGGCUAACUCCGUGCCAGCCGCCGCGGUAACAC